AGUGAACGCUGGCGGUAGGCCUAACACAUGCAAGUCGAACGGCAGCACAGUAAGAGCUUGCUCUUACGGGUGGCGAGUGGCGGACGGGUGAGGAAUACAUCGGAAUCUACUUUUUCGUGGGGGAUAACGUAGGGAAACUUACGCUAAUACCGCAUACGACCUACGGGUGAAAGCAGGGGAUCUUCGGACCUUGCGCGAUUGAAUGAGCCGAUGUCGGAUUAGCUAGUUGGCGGGGUAAAGGCCCACCAAGGCGACGAUCCGUAGCUGGUCUGAGAGGAUGAUCAGCCACACUGGAACUAGGACACGGUCCACACUACUACGGGAGGCAGCAGUGGGGAAUAUUGGACCAUGGGCGCAAGCCUGAUCCAGCCAUACCGCGUGGGUGAAGAAGGCCUUCGGGUUGUAAAGCCCUUUUGUUGGGAAAGAAAAGCAGCAGGUUAAUACCCCGCUGUUCUGACGGUACCCAAAGAAUAAGCACCGGCUAACUUCGUG
This 492-nucleotide ribosomal RNA is filed under the name uncultured bacterium. RNAcentral's name for it is "partial 16S ribosomal RNA". It matches the Rfam family "Bacterial small subunit ribosomal RNA", at positions 29 to 507 of the family's 1533-position model. The record is from RNAcentral.